This 482-nucleotide ribosomal RNA is filed under the name uncultured bacterium. RNAcentral describes it as "partial 16S ribosomal RNA". It matches the Rfam family "Bacterial small subunit ribosomal RNA", at positions 30 to 507 of the family's 1533-position model. The record is from RNAcentral.
AUUGAACGCUGGCGGCAUGCCUUACACAUGCAAGUCGAACGGUAACAGGUCUUCGGAUGCUGACGAGUGGCGAACGGGUGAGUAAUACAUCGGAACGUGCCCGAUCGUGGGGGAUAACGAAGCGAAAGCUUUGCUAAUACCGCAUACGAUCUACGGAUGAAAGCGGGGGAUCUUCGGACCUCGCGCGGACGGAGCGGCCGAUGGCAGAUUAGGUAGUUGGUGGGAUAAAAGCUUACCAAGCCGACGAUCUGUAGCUGGUCUGAGAGGAUGAUCAGCCACACUGGGACUGAGAGACGGCCCAGACUCCUACGGGAGGCAGCAGUGGGGAAUUUUGGACAAUGGGCGCAAGCCUGAUCCAGCCAUGCCGCGUGCAGGAUGAAGGCCUUCGGGUUGUAAACUGCUUUUGUACGGAACGAAAAGGUGCCUUCUAAUAAAGGGCGCUCAUGACGGUACCGUAAGAAUAAGCACCGGCUAACUACGUG